AUUUUUUUUCAGUUGUUGCACAGAAGUUUAAAUGUAGAUUUUGCAGUUUCAUGCAGCAUUUUGUAGUUUAUUUCUGAUAUUAAAAGAGAUUUUAUUCAUUGUAAAAAAGGGAAAGAGCCUUUGUUAUAUUUCAUAGACAAUAUUAUUUUAACCAAGACCAGAGACAUAUUAUUAGUUACACAGUGUGCAAUUGUCCUAAUACAAGAAUUUAUCGGGUCAAUAAAAUUCAUAUCGGGUGAGGCGAAGCCAAACCCAAUAUGAAUUUUAUUGACCCGAUAAAUUCCGUAUUAGGACAAUUGAACACUGUGUAAUGAAUUUAUCCUGAUUUUGUUGUAUUACAUAUUAUUAUAUUCAAAUUCAAUGUUAGGACAAUAUCAAUAAAUAUAUUUUAGAUAUUAAAUAAAAAAAUGUGAAAAAUAAAAAAUAUUAUGGGUACAAAGCAACUCAAUUGUUUUUUGUUUUUUUUUUAUUAGGUCAAUGAUAUAAGGGAGAUAAUUCCAAUUGACGUAAUAAAUAAGGGAGAUAAUUCCAAUUGACGUGAUAAAAAAUUGUAUUGAAAUUUAUUAGGACAAUAUCAGCCAAUCAAAUUGCGAGAAAUUACUCUAAAUCAGGAUAAAAUUAUAUGUCUCUGCCAAGAC
Molecule: long non-coding RNA, 638 nt
Filed under: Mytilus galloprovincialis (Mediterranean mussel)
Lineage: Eukaryota; Metazoa; Mollusca; Bivalvia; Mytilida; Mytilidae
Source: RNAcentral